This 277-nucleotide ribosomal RNA is filed under the name Armillaria sp. CMW 10583. RNAcentral describes it as "partial large subunit ribosomal RNA". It matches the Rfam family "Eukaryotic large subunit ribosomal RNA", at positions 3120 to 3401 of the family's 3401-position model. The record is from RNAcentral. Lineage: Eukaryota; Fungi; Basidiomycota; Agaricomycetes; Agaricales; Physalacriaceae.
CUGAACGCCUCUAAGUCAGAAUCCGUGCUAGAAACGAUGAUGUUGGUGUCGCACAUUAGACUUGUGUUUAAAUAGAGCUUUGCUCGUGAACCAAAUAUGGUGGGCUGGGUUGUCUUUGCGGAAACGCUUGGGCGACUUGUCUACGAAUUGUAAUCGUAAUAUGGGCGGCGGUGAAUCCUUUGCAGACGACUUGAAUGGGAACGGGGUACUGUAAGUGGUAGAGUAGCCUUGUUGCUACGAUCCACUGAGGUUAAGCCCUUGUUCUAAAGAUUUGUUC